CCAUCCCUCAAGCUCCGCUUGGCUGGUUGGGCCGGCGUCCACCGGUAGACACCGGUGGACGGGCCUGAAACUGGUUGGGCCGGCGUCCACCGGUAGACACCGGUGGACGGGCCUGAAAGGCAGUGGCGGCUCCCGGGGACUCUGGUCCCGGGGGCGGUGAUGCAUGGGUCUCUUCAUCCACCGUCCCACGGGCCACGCCCCCGGAGUCGGUCGAACGGUCGGUCUUCCCCUGUA
RNAcentral lists this unclassified non-coding RNA (234 nucleotides) under uncultured Elaphomyces. Its description in RNAcentral is "sequence contains ITS2". Lineage: Eukaryota; Fungi; Ascomycota; Eurotiomycetes; Eurotiales; Elaphomycetaceae. The record is from RNAcentral.